This 904-nucleotide long non-coding RNA is filed under the name Aquila chrysaetos chrysaetos. RNAcentral describes it as "lncRNA (ENSACCG00020016106.1)". Lineage: Eukaryota; Metazoa; Chordata; Aves; Accipitriformes; Accipitridae. The record is from RNAcentral.
GGAAAAAACUUCAUCCCUGAAGUACUGAAACAUACAUUCCCAGAAGAAAUCACUGAAGUAACAUGCAGGACAUAUUAAUGCUUGGUAUUCAGUUGUUUAUGCGUCUUAAAUUUUGAGAAGUGCUUCCAUUUUCAUUUCUUGGUAAUUUCUUCUAAAGGAUGCUGUAGCUCAGAACUUGGAAAACGGCUUUUAUCCAUACUGGAGGAAUGACACACAUUGUUGAAAGAAUGAGGCAGAUAGCAAAUAUGUUUACCUCAGUAUGACUCCAUGAUAAUCUUCCAGGAGAUGGCUUUUGCUGAAACAACUGAAAUAAAUUCCCUGUGUUUCCCUUGCUGUGAUCAGGUAAUUGGUUUUAUUUGUUGUUACCUAAGUAGGCACUAAAAAGAGAAACCUACUGAUGGCCUCUGCAGCCCUUCCAUGGGCCAUGCCAACAAUGUAACAGAAAGUCAAUAAUUUGGGUUUUGUAUCCGCUUCGUUAAAACAUCUCACCCAAGUGAAAACUGCAAAUUACAUUUUUGCAUCUUUUGUCUUAAUCAAAUUUAAAAGCCCUAGGUAAAGGUGUUUGUUUAUCACACCACCUGAAGUACGAGCACUCAGCAGCUGAGAGCUGGAACCAGAGGGGAAAUUCCCAGUCAACUAGAAGAACAAAGCAUGUGUAUGAACUGGUACUUCAUGCUUCUGCCUUACAUUUGAAGAAGGAUCAUGCAAUUACAUUUACUGAGUUACUUGCACUUGGAUUCUUGGCACUUCUGGAAGAAAAAAAAAAAGAUCUUGAGAAGAUUAAAAGUAUUGCAGACCACAGAGAGGAGGACAGUCAAGGAGGAAAGGUGGGAAACAACAGUGUGAGGGACUCAUGGAGGAAACGGAUACCAACUUUUACUGGGAUGUGAUUACUUCAGAGUGG